GGGGAUAACUACUGGAAACGGUAGCUAAUACCGCAUGACCUCGCAAGAGCAAAGUGGGGACCCUUCGGGCCUCACGCCAUCGGAUGUGCCCAGAUGGGAUUAGCUAGUAGGUGGGGUAAUGGCUCACCUAGGCGACGAUCCCUAGCUGGUCUGAGAGGAUGACCAGCCACACUGGAACUGAGACACGGUCCAGACUCCUACGGGAGGCAGCAGUGGGGAAUAUUGCACAAUGGGCGCAAGCCUGAUGCAGCCAUGCCGCGUGUGUGAAGAAGGCCUUAGGGUUGUAAAGCACUUUCAGCGAGGAGGAAGGCGCUGUAGUUAAUAGCUGCAGCGAUUGACGUUACUCGCAGAAGAAGCACCGGCUAACUCCGUGCCAGCAGCCGCGGUAAUACGGAGGGUGCAAGCGUUAAUCGGAAUUACUGGGCGUAAAGCGCACGCAGGCGGUUUGUUAAGUCAGAUGUGAAAUCCCCGAGCUUAACUUGGGAACUGCAUUUGAAACUGGCAAGCUAGAGUCUUGUAGAGGGGGGUAGAAUUCCAGGUGUAGCGGUGAAAUGCGUAGAGAUCUGGAGGAAUACCGGUGGCGAAGGCGGCCCCCUGGACAAAGACUGACGCUCAGGUGCGAAAGCGUGGGGAGCAAAC
This 639-nucleotide ribosomal RNA is filed under the name uncultured bacterium. RNAcentral describes it as "bacterial SSU rRNA". It matches the Rfam family "Bacterial small subunit ribosomal RNA", at positions 139 to 773 of the family's 1533-position model. The record is from RNAcentral.